GUAGUCUGCCAUACGCAGGAAGACCCGCUGAACUGAAGCAUCUCAUUAAGCGGAGGAAAAGAAACUAACUAGGAUUCCCUUAGUAAAGGCGAUCGAAAAGGGAACAGCCCAACGUCUUAAUCCCGCAAGGGAAAUGUAGUCGGUUCACCUAUUGCACUGGUCUAAGUCAGAUGGAAUGCUGCGCGAUUCAGAGUAAAAGCCUCGUAUGACCAACCGCAAGCUUACGAUGGACCGGGGAGAGUCGGAUACUUUGAGAGUAGUGUCUUAAGGGGGUGGUAUGUCCCAUCCAAGGCUAAAUAACGUGAGGAGACCGAUAGAUUACAAGUAGUGUGAACGAAAGAUGAAAAGAACUCUAAAACAGAGGGUGAAAAGUUCCUGAACUUGCUUAGGGUUAAGGCUAUUUAUAGUACCCGUCUUGAAACACGGAUUAGGGAGUUUAUCUGUAGUGCGAGUCUUUGCACGUUAACUGUAAAGGCGUAGAGAAAGCAACUGGCGUUUGCAUGGCUACUGAGCAUUACUGAUAGGACCCGAAAGGUGGUGAACUUUGCCUGCACAGGUUGAAGUCAGGGGAAACUCUGAUGGAGGACCGUACGGGUUAUUGAUGUGCAAAUCAUUUUUCUGAUGUAGGUAAAGGUGCGAAAGACUCAUCGAACCACCUAAUAGCUGGUUUCCUCCGAAGUUUCCCUCAGGAUAGCUGUAAUGCAUUUUAGUUAAGGGGAGUAAAGAUAUGGGUAGAAGUGCAGGGAGCCUUC
This is a non-coding RNA of Trichomonas vaginalis G3, 752 nucleotides long. The record is from Rfam. Lineage: Eukaryota; Parabasalia; Trichomonadida; Trichomonadidae.